GACGAACCGUGCGAACGUUAUUCGGAAUCACUGGGCUUAAAGCGCGUGUAGGCGGGAGGGCACGUCCGUUGCUGAAAUCCCCCGGCUCAACCGGGGAACGGGCGCGGAUACGACUCUCCUUGAGGGGCGUAGGGGGACCUGGAACUUCCGGUGGAGCGGUGAAAUGCGUUGAGAUCGGAAGGAACGCCCGUGGCGAAAGCGAGGUCCUGGACGCCUACUGACGCUGAGACGCGAAAGCGUGGGGAGCAAACAGG
Molecule: ribosomal RNA, 254 nt
Filed under: uncultured bacterium
Lineage: Bacteria
Description: partial 16S ribosomal RNA
Rfam family: Bacterial small subunit ribosomal RNA
Source: RNAcentral